GAUCAUGGCUCAGAUUGAACGCUGGCGGCAUGCCUUACACAUGCAAGUCGAACGGCAGCACGGGGGCAACCCUGGUGGCGAGUGGCGAACGGGUGAGUAAUAUAUCGGAACGUACCCUGGAGUGGGGGGUAACGUAGCGAAAGUUACGCUAAUACCGCAUACGAUCUAAGGAUGAAAGUGGGGGAUCGCAAGACCUCAUGCUCCCGGAGCGGCCGAUAUCUGAUUAGCUAGUUGGUGGGGUAAAGGCCUACCAAGGCAUCGAUCAGUAGCUGGUCUGAGAGGACGACCAGCCACACUGGGACUGAGACACGGCCCAGACUCCUACGGGAGGCAGCAGUGGGGAAUUUUGGACAAUGGGGGCAACCCUGAUCCAGCAAUGCCGCGUGAGUGAAGAAGGCCUUCGGGUUGUAAAGCUCUUUUGUCAGGGAAGAAACGGUUGGGGCUAAUAUCCUCGGCUAAUGACGGUACCUGAAGAAUAAGCACCGGCUAACUACGUG
Molecule: ribosomal RNA, 497 nt
Filed under: uncultured bacterium
Lineage: Bacteria
Description: bacterial SSU rRNA
Rfam family: Bacterial small subunit ribosomal RNA
Source: RNAcentral